RNAcentral lists this ribosomal RNA (227 nucleotides) under Aedes coulangesi. RNAcentral describes it as "partial large subunit ribosomal RNA". It matches the Rfam family "Eukaryotic large subunit ribosomal RNA", at positions 647 to 879 of the family's 3401-position model. Lineage: Eukaryota; Metazoa; Arthropoda; Insecta; Diptera; Culicidae. The record is from RNAcentral.
ACCCGUCUUAAACACGGACCAAGGAGUCUAACAUGUGUGCGAGUUUUUGGGUGGCAAACCCAUGAGCGUAAUGAAAGUGAAUGCAGGUGGGAUCCACAAGGAGCACCAUCGACCGGACCUGAUGUUCUGGGAUGGAUCGGAGUAAGAGCAUAUAUGUUGGGACCCGAAAGAUGGUGAACUAUGCCUGAAUAGGGCGAAGCCAGAGGAAACUCUGGUGGAGGCUCGCA